UACAGAGGUCCCAAGCGUUGUUCGGAUUCACUGGGCGUAAAGGGUGCGUAGGCGGUCAUUUAAGUCUGACGUGAAAUCUCCGGGCCUAACCCGGAAACUGCGUUGGAAACUAUUUGACUAGAGGAAUGGAGGGGAGACUGGAAUUCCUGGUGUAGCGGUGAAAUGCGCAGAUAUCAGGAGGAACACCGGUGGCGAAGGCGGGUCUCUGGGCCGAUACUGACGCUGAGGAGCGAAAGCGUGGGGAGCGAACAGG
RNAcentral lists this ribosomal RNA (253 nucleotides) under uncultured bacterium. RNAcentral describes it as "partial 16S ribosomal RNA". It matches the Rfam family "Bacterial small subunit ribosomal RNA", at positions 524 to 776 of the family's 1533-position model. The record is from RNAcentral.